Molecule: transfer RNA, 72 nt
Filed under: Trichonephila inaurata madagascariensis
Lineage: Eukaryota; Metazoa; Arthropoda; Arachnida; Araneae; Nephilidae
Rfam family: tRNA
About the family: Transfer RNA (tRNA) molecules are approximately 80 nucleotides in length. Their secondary structure includes four short double-helical elements and three loops (D, anti-codon, and T loops).
Source: Rfam by way of RNAcentral
GACUCGGUGGCGCAACGUUAGCGUGUCUGACUCCAGAUCAGAAGGUUGCGUGUUCGAAUCACGUUCGGGUCA